Beta vulgaris subsp. vulgaris (sugar beet) is the source of this 210-nucleotide long non-coding RNA. RefSeq lists it as uncharacterized. NCBI's taxonomy places the organism in Eukaryota, Viridiplantae, Streptophyta, Magnoliopsida, Caryophyllales, Amaranthaceae. The transcript has 2 exons. The record is from RefSeq and is a predicted model, not a curated record.
CGAGCUAAGGGAAGGUAAAAGUGGGAAGGAAAUGAAGGUCUGAGGGCCCAUGGGGGAUCCUCGGGCACCCCGGGGACCCUAGGGAGGUCCGGGACGAAAAAACUCGUCGGGCCCCGGGAAGUCGGAAAAUGGCCCGAAAACUGUAAAAAAACGUGGAUUAUAGUACACGAAUCCGGGGGCCCGUGGGGCCCGGGCACCGGUGCCCACGGG